Molecule: ribosomal RNA, 476 nt
Filed under: Micrurus tener (Texas coral snake)
Lineage: Eukaryota; Metazoa; Chordata; Lepidosauria; Squamata; Elapidae
Description: partial 12S ribosomal RNA
Source: RNAcentral
UACCCCACUAUGCCCAGCCUUAACAAAACAAUUAAAUAACGAAUUGUUCGCCAAAUAACUACGAGCGAAAGCUUAAAAUUUAAAAGACUUGACGGUGCUUCACAUCGACCUAGAGGAGCCUGUCUAAUAACCGAUAAUCCACGAUUAACCCAACCCCCUCUAGCCUACAGUCUAUAUACCGCCGUCGCCAGCUUACCUUGUAAAAGAAAUAAAGCAAGCCCAAUAACACUAUCCUUAAUACGACAGGUCGAGGUGUAACUAAUGAGAGGGACAAGAUGGGCUACAUUUUCUACACUAGAAAAAACGAAUAGACUAUGAAACUAGAAACUGAAGGCGGAUUUAGAAGUAGGUUGAGAAUAGAACACCCAACCGAAAUUAACGCAAUGAAGUGCGCACACACCGCCCGUCAUCCCUGUAAAACAGACAAAACCAUCCAUAAACACCUUUAUUUUUCCAAAGCAGGGCAAGUCGUAACA